GGGCAGGAUGUGUGUUGUACCGGUACGGGCAAGCCCGCACCAGUCCAACACCGCCCCUUACUCACCUGGGGUUCGACGGCAUCCUGCUCUGCGAGGCU
Molecule: regulatory RNA element, 98 nt
Organism: Rhodospirillum rubrum ATCC 11170
Lineage: Bacteria; Pseudomonadati; Pseudomonadota; Alphaproteobacteria; Rhodospirillales; Rhodospirillaceae
Rfam family: traJ-II RNA
Source: Rfam